AUGAACGCUGGCGGCGUGCCUAAUACAUGCAAGUCGAGCGAACAGACGAGGAGCUUGCUCCUCUGACGUUAGCGGCGGACGGGUGAGUAACACGUGGAUAACCUACCUAUAAGACUGGGAUAACUUCGGGAAACCGGAGCUAAUACCGGAUAAUAUAUUGAACCGCAUGGUUCAAUAGUGAAAGACGGUUUUGCUGUCACUUAUAGAUGGAUCCGCGCGGCAUUAGCUAGUUGGUAAGGUAACGGCUUACCAAGGCAACGAUGCGUAGCCGACCUGAGAGGGUGAUCGGCCACACUGGAACUGAGACGCGGUCCAGCCUCCUACGGGAGGCAGCAGUAGGGAAUCUUCCGCAAUGGGCGAAAGCCUGACGGAGCAACGCCGCGUGAGUGAUGAAGGUCUUCGGAUCGUAAAACUCUGUUAUUAGGGAAGAACAAAUGUGUAAGUAACUAUGCACGUCUUGACGGUACCUAAUCAGAAAGCCACGGCUAACUACGU
This 495-nucleotide ribosomal RNA is filed under the name uncultured bacterium. Its description in RNAcentral is "partial 16S ribosomal RNA". It matches the Rfam family "Bacterial small subunit ribosomal RNA", at positions 29 to 506 of the family's 1533-position model. The record is from RNAcentral.